This 372-nucleotide ribosomal RNA is filed under the name uncultured organism. Its description in RNAcentral is "bacterial SSU rRNA". It matches the Rfam family "Bacterial small subunit ribosomal RNA", at positions 526 to 896 of the family's 1533-position model. The record is from RNAcentral.
CAGAGGGUGCAAGCGUUGCUCGGAAUUACUGGGCGUAAAGCGCGUGUAGGUGGCGAUGUAAGUCGGGUGUGAAAUCCCUCAGCUUAACUGAGGAAGUGCACUCGAUACUGUGUCGCUUGAGUGUUGGAGGGGAUGGCGGAAUUCCCGGUGUAGAGGUGAAAUUCGUAGAUAUCGGGAGGAACACCUGUGGCGAAGGCGGCCAUCUGGACAACUACUGACACUGAGACGCGAAAGCGUGGGUAGCAAACAGGAUUAGAUACCCUGGUAGUCCACGCUGUAAACGAUGAGUGCUAGACGUCAUGGGUAUUGACCCCUGUGGUGUCGAAGUUAACACGUUAAGCACUCCGCCUGGGGAGUACGGUCGCAAGAUUA